This 253-nucleotide ribosomal RNA is filed under the name uncultured bacterium. RNAcentral's name for it is "partial 16S ribosomal RNA". It matches the Rfam family "Bacterial small subunit ribosomal RNA", at positions 524 to 776 of the family's 1533-position model. The record is from RNAcentral.
UACGGAGGAUCCAAGCGUUAUCCGGAUUUAUUGGGCUUAAAGGGUGCGUAGGCGGCCUAUUAAGUCAGGGGUGAAAGACGGUAGCUUAACUAUCGCAGUGCCUUUGAUACUGAUGGGCUUGAAUGUACUUGAGGUAGGCGGAAUGUGACAAGUAGCGGUGAAAUGCAUAGAUAUGUCACAGAACACCAAUUGCGAAGGCAGCUUACUAAAGUAUGAUUGACGCUGAGGCACGAAAGCAUGGGGAUCAAACAGG